RNAcentral lists this ribosomal RNA (464 nucleotides) under uncultured bacterium. Its description in RNAcentral is "partial 16S ribosomal RNA". It matches the Rfam family "Bacterial small subunit ribosomal RNA", at positions 29 to 507 of the family's 1533-position model. The record is from RNAcentral.
AUGAACGUUGGCGGCGUGGAUUAGGCAUGCAAGUCGAGCGAGAACCCCGCAAGGGGGGACCGCGGCGAAAGGGACAGUAAUGUGUAGAUUAUCUGCCCUCAGGUCCGGGAUAGCUGCGGGAAACUGCAGGUAAUACCGGAUAACAUCUCCGGAUCAAAGGUGUGAUUCCGCCUGAGGAUGAGUCUGCAUCCUAUUAGCUAGUUGGUGGGGUAAUGGCCUACCAAGGCAUUGAUGGGUAGCAGGUGUGAGAGCACGACCUGCGUCAUUGGGACUGAGACACUGCCCAGACACCUACGGGUGGCUGCAGUCGAGAAUCUUCGGCAAUGGGCGCAAGCCUGACCGAGCGACGCCGCGUGUGGGAUGAAGGCCUUCGGGUUGUAAACCACUGUCAGAGGGGAUGAAAUGCAGGUGGGUUCUCCCAUCUGUUUGACAUAGCCUCAGAGGAAGGACGGGCUAAGUUCGUG